GGUUGACCUCGGUUCGGAGGAUAC
RNAcentral lists this ribosomal RNA (24 nucleotides) under fungal endophyte sp. AP082. RNAcentral's name for it is "partial 28S ribosomal RNA". Lineage: Eukaryota; Fungi. The record is from RNAcentral.